UAAUUAACACAAGAGUCUCAUGACAGAAAUUGUUCUCAAUUCGGAGUUGAGAAAACUGAAUACAAGGUUUAAGGAAUUUGCCAAAAUCACAUAGUUAUGAGAGUCAUGAUUGUACACCCAACUCACAUAGUGCCUGAUACAUAAUAAAUGUUUGGUAAAUAGUUGUUCUAAAAUCUGUUUUUCUUUCAAUUAUUUGCUCUUUUCACUACCAAGUGUUUCCUCCCCAAUAGACGUGUUUAAGAGCAAAAACAAUGCUUUGAGAUGUUUUCGUGAAUGCACGAUGACUUUCAUGUUUGAUACACAUUAUAGACAUUCAUUUAAUUAUAUUUAUGUACUUUUUUUAUAGACACACAAUGGAGAAGUUAAAUAGUAAUUUGAAACCAAAACUCGGGAUGUCCCAGAGAGGCUAGAUUAGGAAUUCUUUGAUUUGGGAGCCAUGAAUGUGAAGCAUCCAUAUUUUAACAGAACGAUUAAUGGCAGUGGGAUCAUCUAAGAGAACUGAGAAAAAUCUGCCCGAGUGAUGGAAAGAGAACAACUGGAUAAGAAAGGACUGUUCUGGAAGACAUGCUCCUAUGAGCAAUGGAGAGCAGAGGAGAGAGAAGGUGGGGACAGGGAGGGUUGGCCUCUCAUUCAAAAAGAUGCUGGGAAAUUGGCAGGAGUCGAGGGGAACACAAGGGAACCAGGACCUCCACCUGCUUUUGACACAAGUCAGUCUUUUCCUGGACUUUCGGUAUCGCACGGAUGAUGUCAGUCAUUUGGCUGAAAAGUUCGACUUGAGCAGUUUUAAUGUCCUGGAGCACUGCUCUAAGGUUCAUUUCUUCAUCGUAACUAACGUCAUCUUCAAUACAGUCAUCAGAUGUCUCAGUUGAAUAUCUAGCAGAAUCCUGGUGCCGAAGCUGACAUUCGUGGUAAACAUUUUUAAGAGAUUGUCUGACCUUCGAGAGAUUUGAAGUCCACAUCUGGCUAGCAGCAGCUUUUACCCUCUUGGUAUGAAGUUUGUGCAUCUUUCAUGGUGAAACACAGAAUCACAGGAAGAAAGAACGCGCGAAUGAAAUGGUCUUUCUCUUACUGUGUGUUGGGUUCCUUUCCCAGUAACAACAUACAACACUUUGUGGAAAACAGCAGCAGCAGCAGCAGCAGCAGCAGCAGCAGCAGCAGCAGCAGCAGCAGCAGACACUUCUUAUAGAGCUCCAGCUGGAGAGCUCUGUGAAAAUGGUCAACUGCAUGGAAUUCUUCAUAUGGUCCUCAGUGACCUGUCGCUGAUGUCACAAUGACUGCCGUCUUAGAACAAAUACAUUUAACUACAGAAGUUCUCAAAAGUUUGGGUCAUAGGGCUCGUUUUCAAUCAUAAAAAUUAUUGAGCAGUCUGGGCAGCAUAGAAAGACGCCCAUUGCUACAAAAAUUUUUUUAAAACUUAGCCAGCCAUGGUGGUGCACACCUGUAGUCUCAGCUCUUUGGGAGGCUGAGGUGGGAGGAUCGCUUGAGCACAGGGGGUGGAGGCUGGAGUCUGCCAUGAUGACACUACUGCAGUUCAGCCUGGGUGACAGAGCAAUACUCUAUCUCUAAAAAAACAAAAAUGAAAAAUUUUUGAGGACCACACAGAUUUUGUUUUUUUGGGUUAUAUCUACCUAUGUUUUAUAGCAGACAUUAAAACUAAGAAAGUCUUAAAUAUUUACUAAUUAAUUUAUUUAAAUUAAAAAACCCAUUACAUGUUAACAUAAGUGACUUAUUUUUAUAAAAAAUAAUUUGAUUUCCUGAAAGGAAAAAAAAUGAGAAGAGUGGCAUUGUUUUACAUAUCUGCAAAUGUUUGAAAUACCGAAUUAAUAGAACAUAACUAGAUUAUCAUUGCUUCUGCAUUAUAUCUGUUGUGAUGUAUUGUUUCAAUUGAAGUAUAUGAAGAAAAAAUAGCCUUAUGGAGAAAUGUAAAUGGAAAAUAAAGAGUAUUUUAAUAAUCUUUUCAGAUAAUUGAGGAUAUCGUUCUUUGCUACUUUAUACUUUAUGAAAAUUUGACAAAUGAUUUAAGAAGUUGGCCGCUAUGUGUCAUUUUAGGCCAAAUCAAUGAACUUGCAUACUUUGUUAUAUUAAUAGUCUCUAGUCUAUUUUUUAUUUUGAAUAGAUGCAUAAUAUAAGGUAUUGAUCAUUUGGAAAACAAUGGUUCCUGAAUCCUGAUGCCACUGAAUUAUGUAGAUCUUCUAUGUUGACUCGUAUUAUAUAUCAAAAUAUCAUAUUCAUUAAUACCUUCACCAGUCUCACCAGAAAAGUCUUUUGAGUAUUGAGAAGAGGCCAAGCUCAUGGUGGCAAAAUGCACAUUUUUCAAAAUUUUAAUUUUAGCUUGAAAAUCUUGAAAUUUAUCAAGAUGGCUUGUUUUCCUUGAAAUGACAUAUUCCAUCCAUCCAUUUUUUGCAAAAAUGCUUGCCAAAUGCCCGACUAUGAACACUAUAGUUUGUUGUCAGUCAUUUUUUUUCAAGAAAAAGUAGUGUUCCAUGAGAAAAGCAUUUGCAACUCAAAUAACGAUGUAGUUUUUCUCAUGACAAUCAGUAUGCUUUGGUAGGUUGCAGAAGCACUUAUGCUAACUCCCCAUUAUAUCAUACAUAACAUAAAAAAGACGUACUGAAGGGUUGAGAUCUAAUAAGAUUAAAAAUUCUUACUGCUUCAUCGCGCACAUUCUUGAGUGAAACUGGUUUUUCUUGUACUUUUUUCCUUUCCAGAUUGAUUCACUGUUAGUCAGUGUGGUACCUCUGCUAUGGUUCAUGCUAAGGUAUCCACAGUUUUACCCAGUAUUGCUUUUGCAGCAUAAUUUUCAACGGGCAAAUGUAACAAAAGCAGAAAAGAUAAACAGUGUCCUAGGAUUCUUUUGAAAUAUUUUUGCCCUCACAGUCACACAUACAGAGUGACCUCAUGGCACAAAGCAUACCACACUUUGAGAGCUGCUGCCUUAGAAUUUAAAAAUAACAUCAGCCAUUUCUCACAUUUCUUCUUACAGGUUUUCCUACAUAACAGUACUUGAAAUUCAAACCCUUUGAAAUAUUAAGUAAUAUUCUGUCCAUUUUAUAUAUUGAGGUAAAAACUGAAUUUUAUUCUCUAGACACAUUAGACUGAAGAUUUUGGAAUCAAAAUGACCUGAUACUCACACAUAUCUCUCAAAGAGCAAUCUCAUUCUAAUCAAAAGGAUAUUCCCUCUUGGAUUCGUGCCAGUUCCUUCUACCAAAUCACUGUUUCUUCUAUUUGUGCUGAAUUGGAGGGUCAGUGGUGGCCCAGGAUUUGGUACAAAUGCUGAGCCUAGCCGUCAGUAAUUUUAAAAUUUUGGCUCAUCAGUAAUAUCUAGGAUUUUGCUCUACAAUCCUGAGUUUCGAAUGCUGUUUAGUAGCCUUUCCAAAAUAUUUAGAAACCUUUCCUAAUACUUGCUGGGGAAAAUGUUCUCCAAGAGGCAGACUAUCACAGCAAUGGCAUUUGGGGCUUGGCAAGGGCAGAGUUCACAGCCAUCCCAUUUACUUUGGCUAAGACCAUUUUAUCCAUUGAGUUCUGCAGACACAGUGCUUGGGGCCUAUAAAGUUUUUAAGGGCCAAUGAAAACACUUAAGACCAGAAGAAAAAAACCAUGGCUCAGAAUACUGAAAGAAAGCUGCAAGACUGAAACAAUAGGUGUUUAAUGAAACGUCUCUGAAAUGUACUAUGUCAUAGUCAUUAAUUGUUAGCUUUAGUAUUAUGAAAAUUUCAUUACAUUUGGAGGCAAUUUGUCUGUUAGGUAUUCUCACUUUGCAAGGCUUCCCAAUUAAAUUAGAGGGCUUGCUCGUCAUAAUUACUCCCUCCAGGUUCGUAACAGCUAAGACUUGCUGGGUGCUUACCCGAGACUGUUCUAAAUAUUAGCUCACUUACCUGAUGUCCAGAGUAGUCAAGUAACUUUCCUAAGGUAACAGAGCUAAAAAACGGGCAGAAUCGGAUUUCAAAUGCUCACAUUCUGGCUCCAGAGUCCACGGGUUUUACUCAACUGCCCACAAUCAUUCUUAAAAUAUAUAUUUAGUACAACUCAGACAAAGAUGAACAUUUUAUUUUUAAAUUAUACCAUAUACUUAUAGAAGCUUUAUUUUACUAAAAAUUUUAUUUUAGCAUUAUGAGAACAUUAAAGAUUUUUUUUUACCAAAAGUAUUUGAAACAGAAAUUUGUGAACACUUUAGAAGUUGAACAAGCUCUAAUUUACAGCAAAAAGUGAAUAUUUUGAGGCUAUACCUUCCUUACUGUAGUAGUCAUAGUAAUAUGAUAAUUGGAAUAAAAAACAAGUUUUCAAGUUAAAAUACUCAUGUUUGCUCAUUCUUUUUAUAAAAUAAGUUAACCUAGUAGGCCGUACAAACACAAACCUUGUCUGAGUUUCUAACUACCUCCUUUGCAAUGCAAUAAAGGGAGCCUCAGCCCACCUGGGUUUGCCAGGUGGUGAAAAGUUGCAGUGGGGGGAGGUAAGCCUAUUGAUUUGGGUGAAGUUAUGAGAGCAGUUAGAAAGUUAAUGAAUAAAAGGAGAUGAGAUGACUUCCGCUCUUCGGGUUCCUGCCAGGGGUAUGGAGGCAUUUAGGAAUAAAAUACCAUGGUAGCCUGGAGCCCAGUAGGAGACUUCCUGAGUCUACCUCUUCUCCAGGAGGCGGACUUUCACAGGAAUGGUAUUUGGAGACAGAAAGUUUCAAGACUGUCCCAUGACUAUCUCUGUGCUCUCAGGCAAAUGCCUAACCUCCCACAAGUCUGUGAAAUGGAAUAGUAACAGCACCUGGUUCAGUGAUUGCUUCUGAGAAUUAAGAGGCUGGAUAGUUACACGGCCUUUCCUCCUCAUUUCUCACCACCUGUCUCUCACUUCUCUUCUAUCAAAUGAAAGCAGUAGAUGGUUAACUGUUUUCAGCUUUAGGUCUGAAAAGUGCUCUCUCAAUCCCUCACUCUGUCUUUCUCUCUCAAUAUGACCAAGACAUAGAGUGUGUAGUCCUCGCUGCUCCAUACACCCAUACAGGUAAAGCAUUUUGAUUAGAGACACACCAAAAUGCAGCAAACAAGGCUGAUAUGUAAGUAGUUUAUCUCCUAGCACGGGGUUUCCCAACCAGCUUUGGUGUCAGCAGACUGGAGUGGAAUAACCACUGGUUAGAUGGCUC
Callithrix jacchus (white-tufted-ear marmoset) is the source of this 5125-nucleotide long non-coding RNA. The record is from Ensembl. Lineage: Eukaryota; Metazoa; Chordata; Mammalia; Primates; Cebidae.